Molecule: long non-coding RNA, 562 nt
Organism: Solanum lycopersicum (tomato)
Lineage: Eukaryota; Viridiplantae; Streptophyta; Magnoliopsida; Solanales; Solanaceae
Source: RefSeq, a predicted model, not a curated record
UUACAAUCAGCACUUCUUUGUUAUUUCCUCAAGAAGUUGAAGCUUCUGAAGAUAUAAACCUACCAGUUACUUCAACUAGAGGAGAAAGUAUAGUUAAUUGCUUAUCUACCUUUGAAGUAGGAUCAACGUCGAGUGCAUCUUAUGCUGCAAACAGAUCAAGUUCAAGACGUACUUCAAAUAGAGGUGACUCCAAAGAAUCCCAACAUUUUCGAACUUACAGUAGAGCCUACAAUAAUAUGUUUGCAUUCACUUCACUUGGAGUACAUUAUGAUAGAGAAUUAGCAAGGAGAAAUCGUGGCAUCUAUACAUUUAAAGUCCAAGGACAAAUGUAUCACUUCAUUGAUGAUUUGAUACCCUCAGGAGGAAAAGGAAAAAAUUUACAAUUAUAUUUCUAUGAUAAUGAAAAUGAGCCAACAAACCGAAUGGCAUUAUCAGAUAAUCUUAAUGAGAUAAUUGUUACAAAGCUCAUAGAUAUACUAAAAGUUAAUCCUUAUUCUACUUUUUUAAGAUCGCUAACAGCUCUUCCAAAUUUAUGUGAAUUUUAUAUUGCUCUAAACUCAAG